UGCAGCAGCGGCAGCGAGAGGAGCAGGAGCGGGUGCAGCAGAGGGAGAUGUAUGGUAGGAGCUGUGGGGCGAAGGGGAAUCCCUAAAAUGGCUGGAAUCACGAGACUGGCUCCCCGUAACACCACGACCACGACGCUGUCGAGGCCGGGUCUGAUCAUCAUGAGACCUGUAAAUUAAAAAAAAAAAUAUUUAAUAAAUAUAGAAAUAUAUAAAUGGGCAAAUCUCCAAAAUAGCACAUUUCUAAGUUUAUAUCACAAAAAUAGCACUCAAAAACUAAAAUGACCAAAAUAGCACCUUUCUAAGUUUAUCCUUUGAAAAUUUUAAUUUUUUUAUUUUUCAAAAUUUGAAAUCUUAUCCCCAAAACCUCAUUUCUCAACUCUAACCCCUAAACCCUAAACUCUAAACCCUAAACCCUAAACUCAAAACCCUAAACCCUAAACCAUGAACUCUAAACCCUAAACCCUAAACUCUAAACCCUAAACCCUAAACCCUAAACCCUAAACCCUACAAUCUAAACCCUAAACUCUAAACCCUAAACCCUAAAUCCUAAACCCCACC
This 558-nucleotide long non-coding RNA is filed under the name Brassica napus (rape). RNAcentral's name for it is "long non-coding RNA (BNAP_LNC023215)". The record is from RNAcentral. Lineage: Eukaryota; Viridiplantae; Streptophyta; Magnoliopsida; Brassicales; Brassicaceae.